This 169-nucleotide ribosomal RNA is filed under the name uncultured bacterium. RNAcentral describes it as "partial 16S ribosomal RNA". It matches the Rfam family "Bacterial small subunit ribosomal RNA", at positions 338 to 524 of the family's 1533-position model. The record is from RNAcentral.
CCUACGGGAGGCAGCAGUGGGGAAUCUUGCACAAUGGAGGAAGCUCUGAUGCAGCGAUGCCGCGUGAGUGAAGAAGGCCUUUGGGUUGUAAAGCUCUUUCGUCGGGGAAGAAAAUGACUGUACCCGAAUAAGAAGGUCCGGCUAACUUCGUGCCAGCAGCCGCGGUAAU